This 545-nucleotide long non-coding RNA is filed under the name Phasianus colchicus (ring-necked pheasant). RNAcentral describes it as "lncRNA (ENSPCLG00000015237.1)". The record is from RNAcentral. Lineage: Eukaryota; Metazoa; Chordata; Aves; Galliformes; Phasianidae.
ACGUCCACUUCCAACAAGCAAGCAGUGAGGUGCAUCUCAGCCUUUGCUCACUGCAAGGUACAGAAAUUGUUUAAUAAUGACUUUGGAGAAGGUUUCCCUAUCCAGUCUCCUGAUCAGGAAGAAAGAAGAAGGUUUUUGGAGGACUUAAUCACGAGAGGAGCUGCUGUUGAUCCUCCACUUCCAAGAAGCAAGCAGGUGAGGACAUUGUGCAUCUCAGCCUUUGCUCACUGCAAGGUGCCAGCCACUCCAUCUGUGCUUUGCGGUGAUUUUCCACCAGCACUUGUGCUUGUAUGUGAGCACCAGGCAUCCGCUAACGCUGUCUGAUAGCUUUAGGCUGGGCAGACACGGGAAGCACUGCCUGCAGCAGCAGCAGCUGAGCUCCGUGUGCCAGAGGAAGGAAUGCGGCGUCUGGAGGAGCAGGAGGAGGAGACCCCGCGUGACUCUGCGUGUUCUGCAGGGCCGUUCCUCACAGACUGCCACUGACAGACGUUUGGGGCACUGCAGAGCCUGUUGGUGCGGAUGAGGUAAAGCAGUGUUGAUCUGUA